This 65-nucleotide transfer RNA is filed under the name Dipodomys ordii (Ord's kangaroo rat). It matches the Rfam family "tRNA". Rfam says of the family: Transfer RNA (tRNA) molecules are approximately 80 nucleotides in length. Their secondary structure includes four short double-helical elements and three loops (D, anti-codon, and T loops). Further hydrogen bonds mediate the characteristic L-shaped molecular structure. tRNAs have two regions of fundamental functional importance: the anti-codon, which is responsible for specific mRNA codon recognition, and the 3' end, to which the tRNAs corresponding amino acid is attached (by aminoacyl-tRNA synthetases). tRNAs cope with the degeneracy of the genetic code in two manners: having more than one tRNA (with a specific anti-codon) for a particular amino acid; and 'wobble' base-pairing, i.e. permitting non-standard base-pairing at the 3rd anti-codon position. Lineage: Eukaryota; Metazoa; Chordata; Mammalia; Rodentia; Heteromyidae. The record is from Rfam by way of RNAcentral.
GGUGGCUCAGUGGUAGAGUGCUUGCCUUGCAUGCAUGAGGCGCUGGGUUCAGUUCCUCAGCACCA